CACCUGGGGAGUACGACCGCAAGGUUGAAACUCAAAGGAAUUGACGGGGGCCCGCACAAGCAGUGGAGUAUGUGGUUUAAUUCGACGCAACGCGAAGAACCUUACCAAGUCUUGACAUCCCUUGACGAUGCUGGAAACAGUAUUUCUCUUCGGAGCAAGGAGACAGGUGGUGCAUGGUUGUCGUCAGCUCGUGUCGUGAGAUGUUGGGUUAAGUCCCGCAACGAGCGCAACCCUUAUGGUCAGUUACUACGCAAGAGGACUCUGGCCAGACUGCCGUUGACAAAAC
RNAcentral lists this ribosomal RNA (286 nucleotides) under Faecalibacterium prausnitzii. RNAcentral's name for it is "partial 16S ribosomal RNA". It matches the Rfam family "Bacterial small subunit ribosomal RNA", at positions 870 to 1164 of the family's 1533-position model. The record is from RNAcentral. Lineage: Bacteria; Bacillati; Bacillota; Clostridia; Eubacteriales; Oscillospiraceae.